CAAAAAUAACAAUGAUAUUAAUCGAGAUAUAGAGAAAGUAUCUCGAUUCUUCUUUUUACUAUCUCUAUCCUUUUUUUUUUCAUGUUUCUUCAUAUUAUCUUUUACUUUCUCAUGAUUCAUCAUCUUAUCUUUCACACCACCAAUUCCUUUUAUCAGAUGUCUCGGACAAGACCACUUCCAUCUAUUCAUUUAUGUCAAAUUAUGUAUAUGGUCAAGAUCUGUAUAUACAAAAGAUGGAGACAUUGAAUCUGGACAUAUGUUGAAGGUUUUACAAAGGAAGCGUUCAUAUUGUAAAGUUGAAUUACGAAAAUUUGUAGUUAAUGCAAUAGAAUAUUUCAUAUUUUAGAUAUCAUAUGAUCUGAGUUUGCAAUAUACGGAGUACGUUAUUGCAAUAUACGAAAAUUUUUUUGUUGUUUAAUACAUUGGCCCGUUCACUUCGUCUUAUUUUUA
Long non-coding RNA from Chenopodium quinoa (quinoa), 450 nucleotides. RefSeq lists it as uncharacterized. Lineage: Eukaryota; Viridiplantae; Streptophyta; Magnoliopsida; Caryophyllales; Amaranthaceae. The record is from RefSeq and is a predicted model, not a curated record. The transcript is spliced from 2 exons.